GCGAGUGACAGAGUGCAAAUCUGGACAAGCACCCAUAAGGUGCCGGGGCUU
RNAcentral lists this transfer RNA (51 nucleotides) under Hemidactylus gracilis. Its description in RNAcentral is "partial tRNA-Cys". Lineage: Eukaryota; Metazoa; Chordata; Lepidosauria; Squamata; Gekkonidae. The record is from RNAcentral.